UGCGCACGCGCCGACCCCUCCCGGCAACUCCCCAACCCUCUCCCCUUGCACAUGCGCAGAAUUACAGCUGUUCCCGGCUCUCCCAGCACUUCCUUGGUGGCAACCCGCCUACCUCUUUUCCUUGCGCGUGCGUGCAAGUCCUCCUUGGCUCAGCCUCGGAGGUAGAGAGACGGUGGGACUGUGGCCUGAAGAUCCAUAGACGAUAUAUCAGUCUAUAAGCAUUUAGUCUACUGUUCCAGGAAAACACAUCAGGGUGCAGCUUAAGCGAAAAGAAAAAUGUCCUAUUGCCAGUGUCUAAGCGAACAACGGAAUGUGUCUCCGAGACCAUCUGUAUUGGGUGGACACACGCGUGCUUAAAACAACCCCGCCCGUGUGCGGAGUCCUUGCUGUUGCCAGCGCUUCGCGGGAGUUAUCGCACAGAAGCUUCAGAACAACUCUAUGAGGUAUGUUCAUAUUUUAAGAAAGAAUGAAGACCGUUAAAGAAGAAAGCAGUUUGAACGAAUGUAUCUUCCAGGAGGGCAGGCCUAUAUCUUUUUUUCUGUUGAUUCCAGUGCCUAGCAAGUGUUUGACAUAUAAAGGAUGUUCAAUAAGUAUUUUAAUAAGUUCAAUAGAGAGAAAGAGAUAGAAACAUCAGUGAUGAGAAUCAUUGGUGGGCUGCCCUUGACUGGAAUUGAACCCGGGACCCUUCAUCCGCAGACCGACGCUCUAUCCACUGAGCCAAACCAGCUAGGGCUGUGGUACAUUUUUGCAAUCUAUUAUUUUGUACAUCAAAAAGAAUUGUCUCUUAAGUGCUAAAUUUUUUCUAACACAAAAGAGAAAAUUUCUUCUUAGACUUGUUUAUUUUGGCCAGCUGUGAGCUUCAGGAGUUCUACCGGGAGUUCAACUGCUUGCUAUGACGUGCGCUGACCACCAGGGGGUGGCGUGGAACAUGGCAGGUGUCAGCGAUGCGGUGCUGGCAGUGGGCAGCAGUGGAGGCGCUGCUGGCUCGAUGAGACCAGGACCCUGAUGUUAUGGUGGAGCAGGAAAAUGCCUCUUGGAUUUUUAAUCAGAAUGUGAUUAUUCUUCGGUAAAAUAAAAACAUAUUUGAAAACUCAA
This is a long non-coding RNA of Eptesicus fuscus (big brown bat), 1095 nucleotides long. RefSeq lists it as uncharacterized. The record is from RefSeq and is a predicted model, not a curated record. Lineage: Eukaryota; Metazoa; Chordata; Mammalia; Chiroptera; Vespertilionidae. The transcript is spliced from 6 exons.